RNAcentral lists this long non-coding RNA (285 nucleotides) under Phoenix dactylifera (date palm). Its description in RNAcentral is "long non-coding RNA (PDAC_LNC014662)". Lineage: Eukaryota; Viridiplantae; Streptophyta; Magnoliopsida; Arecales; Arecaceae. The record is from RNAcentral.
UGACUCAAUUGAACUCUUCAAUCCUAAUCCAAUUAGGAGUCAUCUUAAUUUAUUAGAUCAAAAUUAAUUAGGACUUUAGGAAUCCCAAUCUAAUUAGGACUCAUAUAAUUUUAGUCCUAAUCCAAUUAGAACUUUAGGAAUCCUACUCCAAGUAGGACUCUUAUUAAAUAAGAUCAAACCCAAUUAAUUAAGUCCAAUUGAUUUAAUUAAAUUGCAAUCCAAUUGCAAUUAUUCCUUCUUCUACUCACUAACUCUUAGUGAGUUAAAAUAAUUAUCAAUCAAAUU